This 766-nucleotide long non-coding RNA is filed under the name Pan troglodytes (chimpanzee). RNAcentral describes it as "long non-coding RNA NONPTRT011062". The record is from RNAcentral. Lineage: Eukaryota; Metazoa; Chordata; Mammalia; Primates; Hominidae.
CUUGUCCCAGCCUCCGCUUUCACUUCCCGCGUUCCCUUUACCCCAAAAACCGCCCCAACAUGUCCAGAGAGGGGCAUCUACCCAGCCGCCCAGCCAGGGGCGACCACUUUGUGAGCCCCGGGGAGCGGGACCCGUACCAGGCGCGCCCAGCGGGGGAUGCGGUGACCAAGGGGCCGGGAGCGCCGGGCAGCACCAGCACUCGAUGUGUCUUAAAUGUGAUCAGCAGUGAUGGUGAGCUUGUCAAUAAUGACUCCAUCUCCAUGACUUGUGAAUAGGCGGUGAGUGUGUCCUUUAAUCAGUCACACAGAACUUGCUUUAUAAAGCUGUUAUUGUCAUGAACAGAUAUUGCAGUCUUUUGUCAGGCCCAGUGAUUAUUAAAGUGUUCCUUCUUCAAAAGCCAGGCCGAAAGUCCUGCUGUGCUUCAUUUCACAAUUGAAGUCCAUUAGUAAAUAAAAUCCCAAGCCGCACGAUUUGCUGUUCCUCAAGUUAUAGGCUUACAUAUAUUUCAUUAAUAAUCUUGGGCCCUUUUGUAGACAUAAGUAGGUAUAUUUUUGGUAUAUAUAUGGCAACAAAAAUAAAAUAUGUAUCUUGCAGCAUGACUUUUAUUUUAAAUGAAGAUUUGAUGGAUUUCCAUUGUUACUCUAAAUGAGCUGGCUGGCUGCCAAGGGAAACCCUAUAGUCAGAAAGUACUAGAAUUGUUACUGUCUACAGGGAAUCACUUUCUAUUUUUUGAGUUCUCAACUUCACCUCCUCCUUUCAAUAGUGC